UACAAUCAGCAGCAAUUUGGCCUUUGUGGGAUUGAGACUGAUCCUAUUUCAAGACCUCAGAGACUGAAUUUCAUAAAGACAGUUAGGCAGCAGGGAGACUUCAGUGACAGAAGCUGGUGUAAAGGUUAAGUAAAUUUGAAUAUUUUGAGUAUUGUGAAGGAAGCUCAAUUAAUGUUUGAUAAGAUGCCAUGCAGUAGCACGUUCAGGUAACUGAGUUGUGUCCAAAACAGGACUUGAGGCUAUUCUUCACUGUAAUGUUGGUAUGAAAGAUACGUAAGCUAGCAAAUACUUAAUCUUUUAAAUCCUUAAUUUCUGAGAUUUUUUUCCCUGUGUUUCCUUUAGUUCCUGUUGUUCUAUUACUUUUUUUUUUUUUUUUUUUAAAUCUGUUCCUCAAGCCCUCCCCAUUCCUUUGUCCCCAGAGUGUUGAUAGUGCUUAUGAUGUUACUAAACACCUCCAGGGGAAUUUUUAAGCAUGAACUCAAGCUGCUCGUUUACCUCGUUAAAGAAUCUUGUUUAAUAUUGCAAAUGAAAUGAUGUAUAAUAUUUAGGCAUAUUUAAAAAUUUUACUUCUCAUAUAAAGCCUGCUGCAAAAUGAAUGACAAGUAAAUCUUUCCUCUUACUGAUAUGUAAAUAGGUGAUCUGAAAAUUGCCUGGGUACGUGGUGCUUGGGUUUCUUAGUUGUCAUUGAAGCUGAUGUGCAUAUACAAGGUUAUUUAAGUAGCCCCGUGGUUUUUCAAAGGUAGCAGUGAACUGUGAAACAUGCUGGCCUUGCUGGGGUUUGGAGGUUUGGAAGUUGUACACCUGUGGUUUAGGGUCUGCCUAAGGCUGGGAUAAGAUACACAUCACCUUUGUGACCGUUGCUGUGCCCUGGAGUUUCUACAUACCUUCCCUCACACAGUAGAAAACAGACAAAUAUUAAAACUUCCAGCAAGGUAUGCAACAAGCCAGUGGCUGAGCAAGCUGUGACUGAGCAGUGCACUAGUGCACUCUCUGCGAAGGACACAGUGAAAGAGGCAAUCUUAGUUAUUUUUUCAUUCAUUCAUGGUUUUUUUUGUUCACCACACUCAGUGGUGCUGAGAAAUUUCAUUGACCCAGAUUUUGCUCAUUAUCUUUUAAGAUUGAGCUGGUAAUUUCACCACUGUGACUCUUCUGUGCAAUCUGUGUGGAGUUGGCUUCUCUGUCAAGAUGAGUCUGUGCUGUUGGCAGAAUGCUGGAUUAUACUUUUUCAUCCCUGCAGUAGAGCUGUAAUAAAAUAUUAACUGAAGGUUUUUCUUUGCAUUCUGUUACUGUGUGAUUAGAUCAAAUUUCAGAAGAGCCUCUUUUGGUCCCUGCUUAUCUUCUUCUAGUCCUUGGUCUUUGGACAUCUUUUUCUUUCUUACUGUAUCUUCAUGUUUUUCUUUUGUUUUGUUCUCGUCCCUGUCUUUUGCCAGUGCCAUGUAUCAGUUAUGUGGAGAUCUUUGAGUUUAAUCUUUUUUUGGUUGUUUGUACAGCCAGCUUCCUUCUUAUGCCACUUUGAUCAUUAUUCAUAUGCAUUAAAGCAGGAGCCGUAAGUGCAGUCAUGCAGGUUUUGAAAGACCCUUCUGUGAAGCUUGAGCUAUAAGGAUUUUUGCUGUGGAGAGUCACAAAGACAGAAUUUAAAUAAAAUCAUUCUGGACCUUAUUGAAGGAAAAAGGUGAUACCCUAUUGACUAAACUAGGACCUGUAUCUUCUGACAAACUCUUAUGAAUUCCUUCUGUUCUUUAAUUAGGAAAGUCGAUAUGAUCAAUCAGCAAGAGAAUUAGUACUGUUCAGAUAUUUAAUGUACCCUUUUUUAUCUUUGAAUUUUACAUGUUUUUAAAUGAUUGUGCAUUUGCUUCCCCAAAAUAAUUAAACCAAUGUUUUGCUACUUGGAAUGAUACGAAUAAAACCAAGAAGAGUUAAAAAUA
This is a long non-coding RNA of Pezoporus occidentalis (night parrot), 1925 nucleotides long. RefSeq lists it as uncharacterized. The transcript is spliced from 2 exons. NCBI's taxonomy places the organism in Eukaryota, Metazoa, Chordata, Aves, Psittaciformes, Psittacidae. The record is from RefSeq and is a predicted model, not a curated record.